This 208-nucleotide unclassified non-coding RNA is filed under the name fungal sp. Its description in RNAcentral is "partial internal transcribed spacer region". The stretch from base 1 to 46 matches the Rfam family "Eukaryotic small subunit ribosomal RNA", at positions 1786 to 1831 of the family's 1831-position model. Lineage: Eukaryota; Fungi. The record is from RNAcentral.
AAGUCGUAACAAGGUCUCCGUAGGUGAACCUGCGGAGGGAUCAUUACCGAGUUAUUACUCAAAACCCUGUUUACCAUCUGUUGCUUCGGGGGCGCCCCUCGGGAGGGGAUUUGCUUCGGCCGCUCCCGAAAGCCAGAAACUAUUUAAUUGUCUGUCAUUAUAAAACUACAAAAAAAUUAAAACCUCAACAACGGAUCUCUUGGUUACU